UCCUAGUUAACCUAGGCAGUCUCGUUAGAGUUCCCGCCAUUACGCGCUGGCAACUAACGAUAAGGGUUGCGCUCGUUGCUGGACUUAACCAAACACCUCACGGCACGAGCUGACGACAGCCAUGCAGCACCUAUAUAGAGACCCUUUCGGGAUAUGCAAUCUCUUGCAUAGUCCUCUACAUUUCGAGCCCAGGUAAGGUUCUUCGCGUUGCAUCGAAUUAAACCACAUGCUCCACUGCUUGUGCGGGCCCCCGUCAAUUCUUUUGAGUUUCACCCUUGCGAGCGUACUCCCCAGGUGGCAUACUUAACGCGUUAGCUCCGAAACAGAAAGGGUUGAGCCCUCCUACUUCUAGUAUGCAUCGUUUACGGCUAGGACUAC
This 378-nucleotide unclassified non-coding RNA is filed under the name uncultured Chlamydiales bacterium. RNAcentral describes it as "contains 16S-23S intergenic spacer region". The record is from RNAcentral. Lineage: Bacteria; Pseudomonadati; Chlamydiota; Chlamydiia; Chlamydiales.